GGACAAACCCUAACCUGGCUGGGGGUCUUCUUUGCCCCACUUCUUCCUGUGGUCCAAAUCCUCAAAUUACUGCUCUUGUUCUAUGUUAAGAAGGUCAGCUUGAUGAGAAAUUGUCAGUGUCCCAGUAAACCCUGGCGUGCAUCUCAUAUGAGCACCAUCUUCAUCUCUUUGUUGUGCUUCCCUUCAUUCCUGGGUGCCUCCAUAUUCCUCUCCUAUACCAUCUGGGCAAUAAAACCAUCAGAAAUGUGCGGACCUUUUCAAACUUUUGAUACCAUCUACGAUUCUUGGAAGGUAUGGGUACUAAAGCUGGAAGAAUCCAAUUCAAAUAUUACUUGGUUUACCUGGAUCCAUCAAAACCUCUUCCAAACUUCCUACUUCCUGUUGUUAAUCACUGCAAU
Protobothrops mucrosquamatus (brown spotted pit viper) is the source of this 398-nucleotide long non-coding RNA. RefSeq lists it as uncharacterized. The record is from RefSeq and is a predicted model, not a curated record. The transcript is spliced from 4 exons. NCBI's taxonomy places the organism in Eukaryota, Metazoa, Chordata, Lepidosauria, Squamata, Viperidae.